RNAcentral lists this ribosomal RNA (253 nucleotides) under uncultured bacterium. Its description in RNAcentral is "partial 16S ribosomal RNA". It matches the Rfam family "Bacterial small subunit ribosomal RNA", at positions 524 to 776 of the family's 1533-position model. The record is from RNAcentral.
UACGAAGGGGGCUAGCGUUACUCGGAUUGACUGGGCGUAAAGGGCGCGUAGGCGGCUUGUACAGUCAGACGUGAAAUUCCUGGGCUCAACCUGGGGGCUGCGUUUGAUACGUGCGGGCUUGAGUUCGGAAGAGGGUCGUGGAAUUCCCAGUGUAGAGGUGAAAUUCGUAGAUAUCGAGAAGAACACCGGUGGCGAAGGCGGCCAUCUGGACAGAUACUGACGCUGAGACGCGAAAGCGUGGGGAGCAAACAGG